RNAcentral lists this ribosomal RNA (1593 nucleotides) under metagenome. Its description in RNAcentral is "bacterial LSU rRNA". It matches the Rfam family "Bacterial large subunit ribosomal RNA", at positions 1312 to 2925 of the family's 2925-position model. The record is from RNAcentral.
GAAAGAUAGGUGAGAAUCCUAUCCAUCGAAAGCCUAAGGUUUCCAGGGGAAGGCUCGUCCGCCCUGGGUAAGUCGGGACCUAAGGUGAGGCCGAAAGGCGUAGCCGAUGGACAACAGGUUGAUAUUCCUGUACCACUUAUUAAACUGAUGGAGUGACGGAGAAGGCUAAGUUGAGCGUGUGAUUGGAUUCACGUGUAAGCAAUGAGGUGGUCAUGUAGGCAAAUCCGCAUGGCAUAACAUUGAGCUGUGAUGCCGAAGCCGAAUGGCGAAGUCAACUGACGUCACGCUUCCAAGAAAAGCUUCUAGGGUUAAUUUAAUAAGUGCCCGUACCGAUAACCGACACAGGUAGGCGAGGAGAGAAUCCUAAGAUGAGCGAGAGAACUCUUGUUAAGGAACUCGGCAAAAUGACCCCGUAACUUCGGGAGAAGGGGUGCUUGUGAAAGCAAGCCGCAGUGAAUAGGCCCAGGCGACUGUUUAUCAAAAACACAGGUCUCUGCUAAACCGCAAGGUGAUGUAUAGGGGCUGACGCCUGCCCGGUGCUGGAAGGUUAAGAGGAGAGGUUAGCGCAAGCGAAGCUUUGAAUUGAAGCCCCAGUAAACGGCGGCCGUAACGAUAACGGUCCUAAGGUAGCGAAAUUCCUUGUCGGGUAAGUUCCGACCCGCACGAAAGGCGUAACGAUCUGGGCGCUGUCUCAACAAGAGACUCGGUGAAAUCAUAGUACCUGUGAAGAUGCAGGUUACCCGCGACAGGACGGAAAGACCCCGUGGAGCUUUACUGUAGCUUGAUAUUGAGCACUGGUGGCACAUGUACAGGAUAGGUAGGAGACGAAGAAACCAGGACGCCAGUCUUGGUGGAGUCGCUGUUGGGAUACUACCCUUGUGUCACUGGGGUUCUAACCCGUGGCCCUUAUCGGGUCAGGGAACAGUGUCAGGUGGGCAGUUUGACUGGGGCGGUCGCCUCCCAAAGAGUAACGGAGGCGCCCAAAGGUUCCCUCAGAAUGGUUGGAAAUCAUUCGAAGAGUGUAAAGGCAGAAGGGAGCUUGACUGCGAGACCUACAAGUCGAGCAGGGACGAAAGUCGGGCUUAGUGAUCCGGCGGUACCGAAUGGAAGGGCCGUCGCUCAACGGAUAAAAGCUACCCCGCGGAUAACAGGCUGAUCUCCCCCAAGAGUUCACAUCGACGGGGAGGUUUGGCACCUCGAUGUCGGCUCAUCGCAUCCUGGGGCUGUAGUCGGUCCCAAGGGUUGGGCUGUUCGCCCAUUAAAGCGGUACGCGAGCUGGGUACAGAACGUCGUGAGACAGUUCGGUCCCUAUCCGUCGUGGGCGUAGGAAAUUUGAGAGGAGCUGUCCUUAGUACGAGAGGACCGGGAUGGACACACCGCUGGUGUACCAGUUGUUCUGCCAGGAGCAUAGCUGGGUAGCUACGUGUGGACGGGAUAAACGCUGAAAGCAUCUAAGCGUGAAGCCCCCCUCAAGAUGAGAUUUCCCAUUCGAAAGAAGUAAGAUCCCUUGAAGACGACGAGGUUGAUAGGUCAGGAGUGGAAGUGUGGUGACACAUGGAGCGGACUGAUACUAAUCGAUCGAGGACUUAACCU